GAGGGGCAGCAUGAAAUCUAUGCAAAUAGAUUUUGAUGGCGACCGGCGUACGGGUGCGUAACACGUACGUAACCUACCUUUUGCUAGAAAAUAGCCUGAGGAAACUCGGAUUAAUGUUCUAUAGCAUAAUAAAAUCGCAUGAUUUUAUUAUUAAAGCAGAAAUGCGGCAAAAGAUGGACGUGCGUCCGAUUAGUUAGUUGGUGAGGUAAAGGCUUACCAAGACGAUGAUCGGUAGGGGGCCUGAGAGGGUGAUCCCCCACACUGGUACUGAGACACGGACCAGACUCCUACGGGAGGCAGCAGUGAGGAAUAUUGGUCAAUGGAGGAAACUCUGAACCAGCCACGCCGCGUGCAGGAAGAAUGCCUUACGGGUUGUAAACUGCUUUUGUUUAGGAAUAAAAAUUCUUACGUGAUAAGAAUUAUGAAUGUACUAUACGAAUAAGUGUCGGCAAACUCCGUGCCAGCAGCCGCGGUAAUACGGAGGACACAAGCGUUAUCCGGAUUUAUUGGGUUUAAAGGGUGCGUAGGCGGUUUAUUAAGUCAGUAGUGAAAUAUUGCAGCUUAACUGUUAAAAUGGCUAUUGAUACUGAUAAACUUGAGUGAGAUUGGAGUAGCUGGAAUGUGUGGUGUAGCGGUGAAAUGCAUAGAUAUCACACAGAACACCGAUCGCGAAAGCAGGUUACUAAAUCUAUACUGACGCUGAGGCACGAAAGCGUGGGGAGCAAACAGGAUUAGAUACCCUGGGUAGUCCACGCCGUAAACGAUGAUCACUAGUUGUUGGAUUUAUUUUUCAGUGACUAAGCGAAAGUGAUAAGUGAUCCACCUGGGGAGUACGGUCGCAAGGCUGAAACUCAAAGGAAUUGACGGGGGCCCGCACAAGCGUGGAGCAUGUGGUUUAAUUCGAUGAUACGCGAGGAACCUUACCAAGGUUUAAAUGUACUACGAAUAAGCUAGAAAUAGUUUAGUCUUCGGACGGAGUACAAGAUGCUGCAUGGUUGUCGUCAGCUCGUGCCGUGAGGUGUUGGGUUAAGUCCCUCAACGAGCGCAACCCUCAUUGUUAGUUGCCAGCGAAUAAUGUCGGGGACUCUAGCAAGACUGCCGACGUAAGUCGAGAGGAAGGUGGGGAUGACGUCAAAUCAUCACGGCUCUUAUACCUUGGGCUACACACGUGCUACAAUGGUCGGUACAAAGGGGUGCUACUGGGUGAUCAGAUGCUAAUCUCUAAAAGCCGAUCUCAGUUCGGAUUGGAGUCUGCAACUCGACUCUAUGAAGUUGGAAUCGCUAGUAAUCGCAUAUCAGCCAUGAUGCGGUGAAUACGUUCCCGGGCCUUGUACACACCGCCCGUCAAGCCAUGGAAGUCGGGGGGACCUAAAAUCGGUGACUGUAAAA
This 1389-nucleotide ribosomal RNA is filed under the name Blaberus craniifer (death's head cockroach). Its description in RNAcentral is "bacterial SSU rRNA". It matches the Rfam family "Bacterial small subunit ribosomal RNA", at positions 64 to 1441 of the family's 1533-position model. The record is from RNAcentral. Lineage: Eukaryota; Metazoa; Arthropoda; Insecta; Blattodea; Blaberidae.